Molecule: non-coding RNA, 189 nt
Filed under: Fodinisporobacter ferrooxydans
Lineage: Bacteria; Bacillati; Bacillota; Bacilli; Caryophanales; Alicyclobacillaceae
Description: Alicyclobacillaceae bacterium MYW30-H2 6S RNA
Rfam family: 6S / SsrS RNA
About the family: E. coli 6S RNA was the first non coding RNA to be sequenced, but its function was unknown until recently.
Source: RNAcentral
AACUUCCUGCUGUGUGCGUUUAGGUUUACUUGUUUUGAACCUAUGUCUGUUUCUAGGGAAUCGAACUCUAAGGCAUAUGUCAUGCCCACCUCCGUUUGGAUGAAUGGGACGACAAAAACUUUAGUGAGAUGCCCACCUGCGAGUGCGGGUUCGAGAAACAGAAAACCUGACGGCAUAAGCGGGAUUCCA